AUCACCCAUUCUACCCGCUCCAAAACUCUUUCUCUUCCUCACCACACCAGCAAAACCACCACAACACCCCUCGCACUACGCGCGCCGCCGCCGCCGCUAGCACUGGUGAGACGAGUACGGAGGAGCAGCACAGGGAUGGACGGCGGCCUCGAGGAUGAGCAGGAGGACCCAAGCUUCCUCAAACCACCACAGCACCCCUCGCACUACGGGCACCGCCACUGCUGUCGCUUUCAGCGUCGGUAAGACGAGUAGGGAGGGGCAAUGCAGGGAUGGACGGUGGCCUGGACGGCGAGUUGGAAGACGCGGGCUUCCUCGACGAGGUAUUACGCGCGACGGACGAGGUCAUCGCCUCCCGCAACCCUAACCCCGCUCCCGCUCCCGCUCCCAUCCCCAUGUUUGACUCCUUCGUCAUUGUCCCCGUCUGAGAGCCUCCUAUCUUCCCACCGAUUCGAUCUCCCACCUCCCCGUCGCUUCGUAGCCCCGCUUCACGAUCAGCUUCUCCCCUCCGCUAAUGGAAUGAGUAUUUUUACCGGUUAAAGUUUGGUUAAUGAAGGAAUAGAAAAUGGGGUUGUGCAAUUUCAAGACUCAGGUGUCCAUGGAUUGGAGAAAUUUCCAUUUAGAUGACCCAUCAACAUCCUACAUUGCCUGGUGAUCACACCUGUGUCACCUGUAUGAAUGUUGGUGGGUUCGACUUGCAAUGUUGUUACAACCUGACUUGACUAAUGCUCUUACUCAUGCUUACAAGUAAUUUGUUUCAUUGGGUUUUGCAUGACGUCUAAUAGAAUAUGUUAUUCUGUAUUCAUUGUAUUAGUAUGUUGCAAGGGGUCAUAAUAAAUCGGGUAGCGGUAAAAUAUUGUAUGACUACAAGAUUGGCGUCUUGAGUGCAUUAUGUUAUAAUUUAAAGUUCAUAUUUCCAACCAAAGCAAAAAUAGUUUAUGAAGCAUAAUAGUUUUUCCAAUACUAAAUUCUUGAGUGGCAUAUGUGAAAGUACUAUAGCUAAGACGCGAUGAAGUAUGGAUCAGUGUUUAUUUAAUCAUUUACGAUGAGAUGUUAUUUGUAGUGUUAGUUAUUCAUCUUCAGGUUGAUUCUGUACCUAACUGAUAUAUGUCUGUGUGUUUUCAGAAACCCCUCAUAUGCAAAAGCUUAAUACUGUCAAGGCUGCUACAGUGGUCAUAGGUUAGAAUAAAUCCAUGGUAAACUUGAACCCCUACAAACUAAAGAAAAUGCCAGAAUAGAGAAAGUUUAAGCCUAGAGAUAAGUGAGUCAAAUCCAUAAAAUUGGCAAGUCAAAUCAUCAGUAUGAAAUGUACCAAGGCAUAUUGGGUGUAGAACUAUCAAAGGUACCUAAUAUGUUUUGUGUAAGUAUAAAAGAAAUUCUGGUAGAGGAUAACAAGAAACAUCAAGCAUUGAGGCCAAGGAUGAACUAAUAUGAUGGGCAUCUAUUUUAAGAAGCUCGAUUUUCAGACAUCAACUAUCAGUUCUAGGAUACAGAAGACUCUGAAAGGCCGCAAGAAGGUAUCAACGACAUAUCUGAUAACUAAAUAUAUGCACCAACUGUAGGAAAAUAGUAAAGGAAGGCCCUAAAUGCCCAAAAUUGGCCACAAUAUUUCACCGUCAGGUCUACCUACUCUGUUAUAGUACUGUCCACACUCAACAGCCGAUCUUUGACUGCUUUAGUUGCCCCUCCUGUUAGUUUAACAAUUCUGUUGAGUGUUGACUCCUUCCAUGAAUUGGUCACCUAGAAAAGGUAGUAAACAUGUGAAUGAGUGGGUUGAAGAGGAUGAUAAUUACCUCAAUUAUAUUUCUGCUUUCAUAACUUAGUUUACUACUUUGUAUUAGGUCAACUUUCAGCCUCUGUUAACAACACAAUUGACCAAGAGCGGGGAUGAGUAGAAGAGGAUGAUCCUGGUGUGUAUAUUACUGUUCGAGCAUUGCAUGGUAGCAUCAGAGAACUACGUAACGACGAGGCUGAGCGACAAUUCCAGUGUCCCAAUGUGUGACCCGAGUUCAACUCCUCUUUCGUCGACCUCGAGAUCCCAGGUACUAUGACACACAGCUACCUUCUCGCAACGUGAUGUGGGAUGAAUUUUGACCUGUAGGUUGAAUAAGUGAAGUGGAUGAGUCAGAAAGUGGAGGAGACAGUGUGCAGGAGCAGCCUGUUUAUGUGGCCGUAGUGGAUCUCGCAUCCUGUUUGUGAGCUUGGUAUUCCUCCUGAAAACAUCACUGCAAACCAAUUGUUAUUUGGCACAUUGGGGGAGUACGCCGGAUUUGAUCCCACAGAGCCCACUUCACGCAGUGGGGGUAAAGCAAAAGCAGUGCAGCAAAUAAAACAGACAAUUGUUACGAUUAGUGAUGGCGCAACUGAUCUGGAGGCUCGGCAACCUGGCGGAGCAGACUGUGUGCCGCCAGAGCUAGCGGAGGGAGGCGGGUCAUUCGAUUUGCCAUGCUUAGGAUUGGAGAAUCACUAGAGUAAUAGUAUAUACAUGGUGGGGAGUGAAACCAACAGAGGAAGAAUCCGUUCUUGAUCAAAAUUAGUCGGCUGCUUGGUUCGUCGUCUGCGUGUUCGAUCGGAGGUUGGCGACGCCUUGGCGUGGCCGCUUUCCGCAAGAAAGCAAGGAAAUUGGUCGGCUUCUGCGCUACCAGUCCGGUCCACUUCGUUCACCUUUCCCUUUCGGUGCCACCAACAUCUAACUGUACAUGCAUGCUUGCUUAGUGCUGACCGCCGCUAAUGCGCUGGAUAUUUCUGGGAGUGGAAACGAAAGUGUACUCUGAAUUUCAAGUUCCUGUCAAAAGUAAGAUCCUCUGACGAAGGUGUGGUUGUGAUCAUGCAUAAACUAACUGUUGCUGCCACAUGGAUCGGAGAGGGAGAUCGAUCCACAGAAGAUGGUAUCAUUUGUCAAGUGUAUGUUGGGACUUGAUGCUGUUGUUUGGGACAUUAUUGGGUCGUCAUUGUUGGAGAAAGUUGUGUAUCUACUUACAGAAUUGGAUGUUAAUAUAACAUGGGAAGAUAUUCUUCAAGAUAAACACAACAAAGGUAUAUUUGACAUGGAGCUUGAGGAUUUGGCUGAGGAUGAACAUAACCUUGGCCGCACAAGUGUGGAGACUUGAAUUCAUAUAUACUUAGUUAGGCUCAAUGUUAGCAUAAACAGUUGAUGAACAAGUUUUCCCAUUAGUAUUUUAGUUUGAAUUUAGAGUACAAUUAUGUAUGAGUUAUUUGACAAUGCUUAUUUAUGAGAUAUUGAAUGAUAUUUAUCUAUAUUGUAUUAAUUAUAGUGUUAUUAAAUA
Zea mays is the source of this 3284-nucleotide long non-coding RNA. RefSeq lists it as uncharacterized. NCBI's taxonomy places the organism in Eukaryota, Viridiplantae, Streptophyta, Magnoliopsida, Poales, Poaceae. The record is from RefSeq and is a predicted model, not a curated record. The transcript is spliced from 8 exons.